This 74-nucleotide microRNA precursor is filed under the name Bombyx mori (domestic silkworm). RNAcentral's name for it is "mir-2807 microRNA precursor family". It matches the Rfam family "mir-2807 microRNA precursor family". Lineage: Eukaryota; Metazoa; Arthropoda; Insecta; Lepidoptera; Bombycidae. The record is from Rfam by way of RNAcentral.
GUAACUCAUAUUUGUAUGCAGUUGGAACAGCGCCCCUAGCGGCAAACGUUCCAACUCCAUACAAAUACGAGUUA